Molecule: long non-coding RNA, 1635 nt
Filed under: Olea europaea subsp. europaea
Lineage: Eukaryota; Viridiplantae; Streptophyta; Magnoliopsida; Lamiales; Oleaceae
Source: RNAcentral
GUUUAGGCAUCUAAGAGGAAGCGAUUUAUUCUGACAUUUUUCCUAGGGUUGUGUAAUCGGCUUAUCUUAUACUAAGAGGCAUUAUCUGUCCUGCACUUCAUCCUCGUAGCGAAAUGGAAAUAUUGCUCGCAUUAAUUCUUUCCAAAUUUCAAAAUCAUGAUGCAUUCCUUCCCCUCCCUCCCCCUCCCCCUCUUCUUCACAUAUCCGCAUCUAUUUAUCAAAUUUCAGUAGGUUUUCUAAAUAUUUGCUGAAAGAACUUAUCAAGUACCAAUUGCCAGGUAAAAAGAGGAAGAGGGAGCUUAUCAUAUCGGAACCAUAUCCAGAAUCUGAGUAUUAUCCUAGUUGUAAUAUUCCAAAACCAGAUCAAGAGAGACUGGAGAGAAAGGCUGCUUAUGAACAAUCUAAGAAUGAUAUUACCAAGUGGGAACCUUCGGUCAAGAGAAACAGAGAGGCACCUACUUUAUAUUUUGAUGAGGAUGUAGACUUGGGAUUUUCAGGCGUAGGAGCAAUUGCUUCUGAAUUUGAACCCAGAAUUGAUUUCGAGAAGAAAAUUGCUUCCUUAGUGAAUGAUACUGAGGUCGUGGAAGCUCACAAAAAGAUGGUGCCAGGCUUCUUGAACUGAACAAGGUAAGGAGGUCAUAUUUAUACAUUCUGGCAUUCCAUAUAAAAAUGUAUGAUUGAUCCUCAUUUAUGGUUAUUGUUUUUAUGUGCUAUUCUAUUAUUGUAAAAGCAGCACAAAUGAUGAUAAAUAAAUAAGUUUCCUUUCUUGAUGCCAUUUUGUAGAUAUCCGUUGAAGAUGUGAAAGAUCGUCAGGCCCGAUUGGCUAAAAUGUGUAGUCUACUUUUCCGUCAUGAAACGAAGGUGAAGCGAAUAAAAAAGAUCAAGUCCAAAACCUAUCACCGCUUGUUGAAGAAAGAUAGAUCGAAAGCAUUCGAAGCUGAGAUUCAAUUGAAUCCAGAAGCUGCUAAAGACCUUGCAAUGAAACAAGAGUUCAAAAGAGCUGAGGUAUUGGAAUAUCUACGACAUGAUGUGAUUACUUCAGGAGUUGGGGUUAACUUUUGAUUUCAUUUUCGAUUCUUGAGAAUCAGCUGGUGCUUACAAUCCUUCUUGUUUCACGCAAGAAUGCAUAACUCUAAAACACAAAAACAGCUCCAAAAGGGCGAAGCGCAUCUUAAAAUGUGGUUUGGAUGUCCAAGAUGAAGGAACCCGAACAGCUUCGUCAACAUGCUACUUUGACCAGAAAAAUGAAAUCUAUGAAAGAUAGAAGUAGUAGCGAUGAGAGUACUGACAAUGAUGACAUUGAGGAAAUCUCAUAUGGUUCUGAUCAGGAUAUUGCAUCAAAACUGUUCAUGACAGCAAAAGAGAAGACACUUGAAGUGCUGGAAGGGGAUGAAGAAGUGCCUAAAUCUGGAGUGUUUUGUUUACCAUUUAUGGUAUGUUAUGUGCAUUUUUCAUUUCAAAAAUAGUAUAAUAUAAUGUAACAUAUUUAUAUGCUCGUUUACUUGAACAGGUACGUGGGUUGAAAAAGAGAAAAGAGGUUGUUGAUGAGGAAGCAAGGCUGUACAACUUAAUAAUUCGUGGGUUGUACAUUUUUUUUUAUUCUUUGUAGUACUUAGAGAUUUUAUGAUUUUGACC